RNAcentral lists this ribosomal RNA (624 nucleotides) under uncultured bacterium. RNAcentral describes it as "bacterial SSU rRNA". It matches the Rfam family "Bacterial small subunit ribosomal RNA", at positions 221 to 842 of the family's 1533-position model. The record is from RNAcentral.
ACGGAUGGUCAUGCGUCGCAUUAGCUUGUUGGCGGGGUAACGGCCCACCAAGGCGACGAUGCGUAGGGGUUCUGAGAGGAAGGUCCCCCACACUGGUACUGAGACACGGACCAGACUCCUACGGGAGGCAGCAGUGAGGAAUAUUGGUCAAUGGCCGCAGGGCUGAACCAGCCAAGUCGCGUGAGGGAUGACGGUCCUACGGAUUGUAAACCUCUUUUGUCAGGGAGCAAAGGGCGCCACGUGUGGCGUUUUGCGAGUACCUGAAGAAAAAGCAUCGGCUAACUCCGUGCCAGCAGCCGCGGUAAUACGGAGGAUGCGAGCGUUAUCCGGAUUUAUUGGGUUUAAAGGGUGCGCAGGCGGAAUGUCAAGUCAGCGGUAAAAUUUCGGGGCUCAACCCCGUCGUGCCGUUGAAACUGGCGUUCUUGAGUGAGCGAGAAGUAUGCGGAAUGCGUGGUGUAGCGGUGAAAUGCAUAGAUAUCACGCAGAACUCCGAUUGCGAAGGCAGCAUACCGGCGCUCAACUGACGCUCAUGCACGAAAGCGUGGGUAUCGAACAGGAUUAGAUACCCUGGUAGUCCACGCAGUAAACGAUGAAUACUAACUGUCCGGGCAGAAUGAUGCCUGG